Molecule: ribosomal RNA, 507 nt
Filed under: uncultured bacterium
Lineage: Bacteria
Description: partial 16S ribosomal RNA
Rfam family: Bacterial small subunit ribosomal RNA
Source: RNAcentral
AUUGAACGCUGGCGGCAUGCCUUACACAUGCAAGUCGAACGGCAGCGGGGGAGAAGCUUGCUUUUCCUGCCGGCGAGUGGCGAACGGGUGAGUAAUACAUCGGAACGUGCCCAGUAGUGGGGAUAGCCCGGCGAAAGCCGGAUUAAUACCGCAUACGACCUGAGGGUGAAAGCGGGGGAUCGCAAGACCCCGCGCUAUUGGAGCGGCCGAUGUCAGAUUAGCUAGUUGGUGGGGUAAAGGCCUACCAAGGCAACGAUCUGUAGUUGGUCUGAGAGGACGACCAGCCACACUGGGACUGAGACACGGCCCAGACUCCUACGGGAGGCAGCAGUGGGGAAUUUUGGACAAUGGGGGCAACCCUGAUCCAGCAAUGCCGCGUGCAGGAAGAAGGCCUUCGGAUUGUAAACUGCUUUUGUCAGGGAAGAAAUCCUCUGGGUUAAUACCUCGGGGGGAUGACGGUACCUGAAGAAUAAGCACCGGCUAACUACGUGCCAGCAGCCGCCGUAA